AGGACCAUAUCAUGUUGAAACACUGGUUCUCAUAUGAUCACCGAAAUUAAGCAAUGUCAAGCCUGGUCAGUAUCUAGAUGUGUGACUGCUUCAGAUUACCAGGUGCUGUAAG
RNAcentral lists this ribosomal RNA (112 nucleotides) under Acanthosepion pharaonis. The record is from RNAcentral. Lineage: Eukaryota; Metazoa; Mollusca; Cephalopoda; Sepiida; Sepiidae.